UUGAUGGACCUGGCGGGAUAAUUGGCAU
This 28-nucleotide non-coding RNA is filed under the name Rattus norvegicus (Norway rat). Lineage: Eukaryota; Metazoa; Chordata; Mammalia; Rodentia; Muridae. The record is from RNAcentral.